GACGAACGCUGGCGGCGUGCUUAACACAUGCAAGUCGAACGGAAAGGCCCUGCUUGCAGGGUACUCGAGUGGUGAACGGGUGAGUAACACGUGGGUGAUCUGCCCUGCACUUCGGGAUAAGCCUGGGAAACUGGGUCUAAUACCGGAUAGGAGCCAUUUUUAGUGUGAUGGUUGGAAAGUUUUUUCGGUCUAGGAUGAGCUCGCGGCCUAUCAGCUUGUUGGUGGGGUAAUGGCCUACCAAGGCGGCGACGGGUAGCCGGCCUGAGAGGGUGGACGGCCACAUUGGGACUGAGAUACGGCCCAGACUCCUACGGGAGGCAGCAGUGGGGAAUAUUGCACAAUGGGCGCAAGCCUGAUGCAGCGACGCCGCGUGGGGGAUGACGGCCUUCGGGUUGUAAACUCCUUUCGCUAGGGACGAAGCUUUUUGUGACGGUACCUAGAUAAGAAGCACCGGCUAACUACGUG
This 465-nucleotide ribosomal RNA is filed under the name uncultured bacterium. RNAcentral's name for it is "partial 16S ribosomal RNA". It matches the Rfam family "Bacterial small subunit ribosomal RNA", at positions 28 to 507 of the family's 1533-position model. The record is from RNAcentral.